This 283-nucleotide long non-coding RNA is filed under the name Salvia miltiorrhiza (redroot sage). Its description in RNAcentral is "long non-coding RNA (SMIL_LNC002636)". The record is from RNAcentral. Lineage: Eukaryota; Viridiplantae; Streptophyta; Magnoliopsida; Lamiales; Lamiaceae.
GAAAAAUGAGAUCUAUGUGAUGUUUGGUGAUGAUUGAUGUGUGUUGUGAAAGGCUAUGCCUUGAGAUGUGAAAGUUGGAUGAGUUUAGUUUACCCAAAAUUUGGGAAUUUGUGAGUUGAUGUAUUAAGUGAUGAAUUGAUGAUGAAAAUGAGUCUAUGAGAUGUCUAUGAUGAUGAUUGAUGGAGUAGAUUGAGUAUAUGAUGUUAAUUGAUGAAUUUGAUGUGAGUUAGUUUAAUAAAAUUAGGGAUAUGUGUAUCUAUGCCCUAAAUUGAAAAUUGAUGGU